This 73-nucleotide transfer RNA is filed under the name Mus musculus (house mouse). Its description in RNAcentral is "tRNA-Ser". Lineage: Eukaryota; Metazoa; Chordata; Mammalia; Rodentia; Muridae. The record is from RNAcentral.
GGAGAGAUGGCUCAGCGGUUGAGAGCACUGACUGCUCUUCCAGAGAUCCUGUGUUCAAUUCCCAGCAACCACA